GCCUCCUUAGCUCAGUUGGUAGAGCAGACGACUGUUAAUCGUCUUGUCCCAGGUUCGAGUCCUGGAGGAGGCG
This 73-nucleotide transfer RNA is filed under the name Gemmatimonadales bacterium. RNAcentral describes it as "tRNA-Asn". It matches the Rfam family "tRNA". Rfam says of the family: Transfer RNA (tRNA) molecules are approximately 80 nucleotides in length. Their secondary structure includes four short double-helical elements and three loops (D, anti-codon, and T loops). Lineage: Bacteria; Pseudomonadati; Gemmatimonadota; Gemmatimonadia; Gemmatimonadales. The record is from RNAcentral.